UUGCUCUUUCUUAGGAGAGAAAUUCCCUAUUUAACACUGUCAUAAAAUAAGAUGCCCUAUUUAAUACUAGAAAAAUAUUUCUUCCCUAUCUAAAUCUAACUUUAAAUUUUGUUCCCAAUAUAACACUCUCAUCUAUUUUCUGAGGCAGUACUGCUAUGCACACGACACAGUGUGCACGAUUUAUGGACGACAGGGCUAUCAAGCCGUCCAUGCAGGUUCAUGCAUGGCAAUUCAGCGGUAGAUGUGCCAUCGUGCAUGGGUCGUGCACACUAACAUCGUGUGCUCAGCAGUUUCGUUUCUGAGGUAACAGUGUUAAAUGGCACAUGAAAUGACAUUUUUGCCGUCAAACAUCAUCAUUAACUGGGUGCGCCCUCUCUUUUCUCUUGUAUCUCUCUGGCUGCGCCCUUUCCUUUCCCUUGUAUCUCCUGAUGUUUGUGCGUGAGUUCUCCCUAGAUGCUUCCUGCGUGUAUGAUGGGUGCGUAAGUUUCCUUUGCAAUGCCUGCGUAUAGUAUAUGUCAGACGCAUCGCACAGCAGUCCCAGAUAUCCUAGAUCGUUGGUGCAUUUCCUUGCCCCCACGUCCAAGUUGUCGGCAUCUUAUCAACACGCCUGCAAAUAAAACAAUAAUGUAUCUUGCCGGGCUUUACGUGGACUUGUUCUUUUUUCUUUAACCGUACAUACACAGG
RNAcentral lists this long non-coding RNA (684 nucleotides) under Triticum aestivum (bread wheat). RNAcentral's name for it is "long non-coding RNA (TAES_LNC001308)". Lineage: Eukaryota; Viridiplantae; Streptophyta; Magnoliopsida; Poales; Poaceae. The record is from RNAcentral.